CAGUCGCCGCGGGAAUACGAAGGGGGCUAGCGUUGUUCGGAUUUACUGGGCGUAAAGGGCGCGUAGGCGGGCGAAUAAGUCAGGGGUGAAAUCCCAAGGCUCAACCUUGGAACUGCCUUUGAUACUGUUUGUCUUGAGUUCGAGAGAGGUAAGUGGAACUGCGAGUGUAGAGGUGAAAUUCGUAGAUAUUCGCAAGAACACCAGUGGCGAAGGCGGCUUACUGGCUCGAAACUGACGCUGAGGCGCGAAAGCGUGGGGAGCAAACAGGAUUAGAUACCCCGGUAGUCCCUGUCUCUUAUAC
Molecule: ribosomal RNA, 301 nt
Filed under: uncultured bacterium
Lineage: Bacteria
Description: partial 16S ribosomal RNA
Rfam family: Bacterial small subunit ribosomal RNA
Source: RNAcentral